Molecule: long non-coding RNA, 1008 nt
Filed under: Delphinapterus leucas (beluga whale)
Lineage: Eukaryota; Metazoa; Chordata; Mammalia; Artiodactyla; Monodontidae
Description: lncRNA (ENSDLEG00000020195.1)
Source: RNAcentral
CAAGCUGCUUGUAUUCACUGAGCACAAGUAGUGAUGCAUUCACUGUGCAGCCUUUAAUAAACGGCCAAACAGAACUUACCCUAGGGCUGCCUUUGGUGGGCUGUCAGCCAGUUUGCCACCUCUGCUCGACAUUUAUCUCUAUUAGAAGCACAGAUUGGAAAGUUGCCACCGGCUUCUGAUGUCAGAUAAUGUGCCAUCCAGCUACACAUUAAUAAAUAAGGAUAGGAAAUAGAAUCACAGCUUUUGGCCUUUCUGUGGGAGAAAGACUAUGGACUUUAGGGCACCCAGUUUCUGAACAAAUUAAAGACGUUUCUAUAGAAUUAUGGUUAGCAGUUUUCAAAUCUGAGCAUCUGCUAUUUUGUGCCCAGUAAUGUGCCAGGUAGACGUAAUAGAGAACAUAAAAGAAGCAGAAAAAUACUAUUAGCAGUUUUAGAGCCACCUACAACUUUGUCGGAGAAAUAUGACAACACGCUGGCAGUAAUAGUACAUGAGCACGUUUGAGUAAGGUUCAAGGUGUGCUGUUCAGAUAACGACUAUUAGGGGAGCUUUGUAUUGCAUAGUGGAGACUGGACCUAACACAGGGGAAACACGUGACUGUUUCAACAGUUCCAUCAUCCACAAGCCCUGGGAAAUACAAAAUGUCAUCCCACGUUUACCAUCUUCAAAGCCUUGAAAUACAGCUUGACUAUCAGCACUGAGACAAAAAUUGGCCAGUGAUCUUUUUCUGCAUUGACUUUGGAUUCAUAGAUGUGCAGCUCCCAAUCUACCUCUGGGGCUUGAAAAACAUCCUGGAAUUGGGAGGAAGUGGAUGUCUAGUUCAUGGCCACCUUUGAUUCUACACUCUUACCUGCAGCCAUGCACCCCUCUUUGCUAAUCUUCAGCCACCAGUCCUCAACAGAAAGAUUCCACAAUGACAACUGGGAAGCUUACAUGAAGCAGAACUGAGUUCCUGUGGUUAGUUAUAUGCGAUAUCAGAAACAGAAUGCCAUGGAGAUAAAAACAUGAAUU